CAGUCGCCACGGGAAUACGUAGGUGGCAAGCGUUGUCCGGAAUUAUUGGGCGUAAAGCGCGCGCAGGUGGUUUAAUAAGUCUGAUGUGAAAGCCCACGGCUCAACCGUGGAGGGUCAUUGGAAACUGUUAAACUUGAGUGCAGGAGAGAAAAGUGGAAUUCCUAGUGUAGCGGUGAAAUGCGUAGAGAUUAGGAGGAACACCAGUGGCGAAGGCGGCUUUUUGGCCUGUAACUGACACUGAGGCGCGAAAGCGUGGGGAGCGAACAGGAUUAGAUACCCCAGUAGUCCCUGUCUCUUAUAC
This 301-nucleotide ribosomal RNA is filed under the name uncultured bacterium. RNAcentral's name for it is "partial 16S ribosomal RNA". It matches the Rfam family "Bacterial small subunit ribosomal RNA", at positions 509 to 807 of the family's 1533-position model. The record is from RNAcentral.